CGGACAACUGUGGUCGAGCGUCCGGGGUCAUGCGGUGGGGUCAUGCGUUGGGCGGAUUGAUUGGUGUUAAAGCGCGUGGAGGCGGCUUUGCAAGUCCGUUGUGAAACCUCGAGGCUCAACCUCGGGACGCCGGUGGAAACUGCAAAGCUAGAGUCCGGAAUAGGAGAGUGGAAUUCCUGGUGUAGCGGUGAAAUGCGCAGAUAUCAGGAAGAACACCCGUGGCGAAGGCGGCUCUCUGGGACGGUACUGACGCUGAGACGCGAAAGCGUGGGGAGCGAACAGGAUUAGAACCCCUGUAGUC
Molecule: ribosomal RNA, 301 nt
Filed under: uncultured bacterium
Lineage: Bacteria
Description: bacterial SSU rRNA
Rfam family: Bacterial small subunit ribosomal RNA
Source: RNAcentral